GAACCACUGUGCCACUGGCUAACAUGUCAGCAUCUGACAAAAAAAAAAAAAUUGAAAUGAAAACUGAAGCAAGCAUCGAUUGAACCUAACGACUGAAACAAGCCCUCCCUCUGAAUGAAAUUAGGGCUCCGACUGAAAUUAACCCUCCGACCGAGAGGUGUCCCCAAUGGUGCCCUCCGACCAAGAGGUGCCCUCAAACUAAAACUGAGAAGCAAGCAUUGAAGGAAGAAGGAAUUGGCUGCGGCACCGUCUCCAUUGGUGUCCCCAAACUCUCUCUCGACUUGAAGAUUGAUGUCAAGGGCAAGCGUGUCUCUGCCUCUCUCUCUCUAUGGGUGAUUUUUCUGUCAGGAACCAGAUCAGGACUCACUUUCUUCAACGAAGUUGGAGUCUUGUCCAAAGAUGGAGGGCAUUUAUGAGUUAAUUCGUGCACUGGCUUUACAUUAACUAAAUUUUUAGAUUAAAUGUUUUCUUGGACCUUUGACAUUGGAUUAUUAGUAUGGCAAGGGGUCCCUUCCUUGGAUGACUUCGUUGCCGAAUAGAGCAGGGAGAUGUCCUUGUGAACAUCCACCAAUGCUUCUGAAUCAUACACUUCCAUCUUGGAUAUUAUACUCUGAACAAGGCAGGGAGCCUUAAUGUAUUCACCAUUCAAGCUUACGUAUUUAGCAAAUUCAAUAGAAAUUGGCAUUUCCAA
Long non-coding RNA from Juglans regia (Persian walnut), 691 nucleotides. RefSeq lists it as uncharacterized. The record is from RefSeq and is a predicted model, not a curated record. The transcript is spliced from 2 exons. Lineage: Eukaryota; Viridiplantae; Streptophyta; Magnoliopsida; Fagales; Juglandaceae.